This 245-nucleotide ribosomal RNA is filed under the name uncultured bacterium. RNAcentral describes it as "partial 16S ribosomal RNA". It matches the Rfam family "Bacterial small subunit ribosomal RNA", at positions 524 to 768 of the family's 1533-position model. The record is from RNAcentral.
AACGUAGGAGCCAAGCGUUAUCCGAAUUCACUGGGCGUAAAGCGCGUGCAGGCGGCUAGGUAAGUUGGAUGUGAAAGCUCCUGGCUCAACUGGGAGAGGACGUUCAAGACUGUCUAGCUAGAGGGCAGCAGAGGGAGGUGGAAUUCCCGGUGUAGUGGUGAAAUGCGUAGAUAUCGGGAGGAACACCAGUGGCGAAAGCGGCCUCCUGGGCUGCACCUGACGCUCGGAUGCGAAAGCUAGGGGAG